GACGAACGCUGGCGGCGUGCCUAACACAUGCAAGUCGAGCGGAGGCGCCUGAAGAGCAAUCGGAGGGUGUCUGAGCGGCGGACGGGUGAGUAACGCGUGAGCGAUCUGCCUUUCACAGGGGGAUAACGCAGCGAAAGCUGCACUAAUACCGCAUGAGACCACGGUACUGAUGGUACAGGGGUCAAAGGAGAGAUCCGGUGAGAGAUGAGCUCGCGUCCGAUUAGGUAGUUGGUGAGGUAACGGCCCACCAAGCCAAGGAUCGGUAGCCGGCCUGAGAGGGUGAACGGCCACAUUGGAACUGAGAGACGGGCCAAACUCCUACGGGAGGCAGCAGUGGGGAAUAUUGGGCAAUGGGGGAAACCCUGACCCAGCAACGCCGCGUGAGGGAAGAAGGUUUUCGGAUUGUAAACCUCUGUUCUUGGAGAAGAGGAGAAGACGGUAUCCAAGGAGGAAGCCCCGGCUAACUACGUGCCAGCCGCCGCGGUAA
Molecule: ribosomal RNA, 487 nt
Filed under: uncultured bacterium
Lineage: Bacteria
Description: partial 16S ribosomal RNA
Rfam family: Bacterial small subunit ribosomal RNA
Source: RNAcentral